UACUAUUUAAAGGGGACCAACAGCCCUUAAAAAGGAGGUCAAUCCUAGUUUUGCAAACUGAUAUUCUACCUAAGAGUGGCUGGAGGAGAGAGGGCACCAAAGGUCUCAAUUGCGACACUGGAGGCAUCUGUGCCGGAAGUGGAGAGGAUGACAGGUAUCCUUUAUUCCCUCCAUGACAUAUGGCUCCAUCCAGGAUGAGGGGACAGUGAAAGGAACCUGCCAAUGUGGUCAAUACUGAGGCCAUUUCACCAAGGGUGUGGCGGCGAUGCUGGAAGAAGGUUAAUGGCUUUGCUGGCGUCGUCAAGCCAAACUGGUCUGGAAGGAGGUGGAGGCCAUGCUCGACGAGAACAUCAUUGGACCAAGUCAGAGCGAGUGGGGUUCACAGAUUGUCUUAGUUUCCAAACCGGUCGGGACUCAACAAUUCUGCUGGAUUAUCGGAAGGUCAACGGCAUUACAAAAUCAGACUUGUAUCCAAUUCCUAGACUGGAGGAUUGUGUCAAGAAAGUUGGACAAGACAUUUACAUCACCAAGUUGGACUUACUGUGUGGUUAUUGGCAGUUACCUUCAUCAGAGAUGGCGAAAUAAAUUUCUGUGUUUGUAACCCCAAAUGGGCUAUAUCAGUUUGAAGUGAUGCCCUUUGGAAUGAAGAACACACCCGCCACAUUCCAAAGACUCAUGGACAGAGUUGUGGCUGGGUGAACAAACUGUGCGGUCUAUUUGGACGAUGGAGUGAUCUUUAGUGAGAACUGGAAAGAUGAUAUGGUACAGUUGGCAGAGCUCAUUGAACAACCACGAGAAGCAAAACUGGUAACAAACUUAAACAACUGAAUUUGUGAAAGCAGUGGUGACAUUCUUGGGGCAUAACAUCGGUCACGGAAGGUUGAGCCCACAAAAUGUGAACAUGAACGCCAUCAAGGAGUUUCCACAACCAACCUCAAAAAAAGAGGUGCUUCAAUUCUUAAGACUUCUAUCGCAAGUCUCUUGUCUGUUCCAAACUUCAGUAGUGUAGUGGCACCGUUAACCGAUUUGCUGAAGAAGAACACAAAGUUUCGGUGGACAGAACAAUACCAGGAGGCAUUCAACCAUUUGAAAUCGAUGUUAACCACCAAACCAGUUUUAGCUCCACCAAAAUUUUCAAAACCUUUUAAAGUCGCCAUCGAUGCUAGUGACAUAGGAGUUGGAGCUGUACUCCGACAGGAAGAUAAGGAUGUGAUUGAACUGCCAGUUGGUUCCUUUUCAAAGAAGCUCCACAUCGACCAGAGGAAAUACUCCACGAUCGAAAAGGAACGAUUGAGGCAGAAUAUCAAGGCCAAGUGAAGUAUUCACGUCCUGCACUUGGAGCUAAGGCAAUUGUCGAGCUGAAGAAACAGGACAAUGGCGUACACGAGGAGAUUGAAGACAGGAGGGGGAGAAAGUAAGCACCCGGACAUCAUAGAGGCCAUCUAAUGAUCGUGGUGACGGUGAUGUGAAUCAAGUAGACAUAGAGAAGGAGGUUGCCUCUUAAGUAAUCCUAAUGGUCUACCAACAGAUAAUCCACCUGUUAAUGUCUUGACGUUUCAUACGUUAAAGCAAAGUUAGGAAUGAAAUAUAGCGGAUUAUUAAACUGAGGGUAUUGACAUAGGCUGAAAUAGAGGGACAAGCCAGAGAGCUGAGAUCAAUUCCUGAUGGGAACAAUCCUGUUGUGUAAACAGAAAGUCAGCGAACUUUAGGUGUGUACAUUAGGACCCUCCCAGUUCUCUGUGUGGCCUUGCAAUAAAGAUCAAAUCUAAUAUUGACAUGGCUAUUUGACAGAAAGGAUUGAAGAAAUAUCAAAUGCUGCUUUGUGUUAAAUGAGUCUAAAAGAAUUGAAAGGUAAUGUUACUGUGCAGGCAGAAUUUGCAGAAGAGAAACCAGACAUGCUAAACACUGUGGGAAGAGGAUCUGUCUCAGUUCAACUUCCCUGCAAGUCCUGCGGUGGCAGCAAUUUUAGUUUAGUUUUGUAACCUGGGAAACAGGUGAGCAGAAACCAUUCAGGUGGCAGGCAAGAGGGGGGAAUAUACCUUGCCUGUUACUCAAGCCUCCUAACCUAUGUAUAGUCCAGCAAAGUCAUGUUCUGUUGAGAGUGUGGAUGUCAUUCUGCUACAUGAAAUAACAGCUGCAGUGCUGAAAUGCUAUCAAAAAUCAUAACAUAUCCACCAAAAUUAUUUUUAUAAAUGCCCUUGAGAAAAUCUCCAUAAGAGUCCUGGGAAAAAACAGACCCAUUUGUGACAAUAGAUUUAUUCUACUCAAUGUCUUCUCAAGGGAUGUCCCUCUAAUCACAGGAAUCAUCAAGGGAAUUAUUAUUUUGCCCCCUCCAGGUAAGAUUUUCUCACUUUUAUACUAUAAUACCCUUGAAAUAAAUAUAAUUUUUCUACUUAAUUCCCUGUUGUACCUGCAACGUUUUGUUUUGUGUACAAUGCCACCAAAAUUACUCUCUGGUCUCUCACCACUGAAAAUGUAUUUUCCUUUUCUAUUCUUCUGACCAAUGUGGAUAAUUCCGCACUUCCUCACAAAAUAAUCUAUUUACCAACUUCUUAUCCUACCACUUUGCACAUUAAUAUCCCUUUGUAAAUGCUUUGUGUCCUCCUUAUUCUGAGGAGAAAGUGAGGUGUGCAGAUGCUGGAGAUCAGAGUCAAAGAGUGUGAUACUGGAAAAGCACGGCAGGACAGGCAGCAUCCGAGGAGCAGGAGAGUCAACAUUUCGAACAUAAGCUCUUCAUCAGGAAUGUCUGACUGGCUGUGCUUUUCCAGCGCCACACUUUUUGACUCCUCCUUAUUGCUGUCUAGAUUUUUUUAUCAUAAGCAAACUUAAACAGAUUACAAUUGGUCCCCACACAUACAUCAUUACUAUAGAUACUAAGUUGAAGCCCAACUGUGCUGCUCCACCAGCUAUACUCAGACAUUCUGAAAAUGGCCUAUUUAUUUGUACUCCUUGUUUUCUGUAGUUUAACCAAUCUUCAGGUGACGCUAAUUAAUUAUCCCAAUCCAUGAUGACUAAUUUUUCUUGUAAUGUGCUAAAUGCACAAAAAAAUUAAACAUCUCACAGAUAGCGUGUUCCUCCAUUUGAGAAACAUCAGCUAAACUUGUGAUGCAUGCCUCUUUUUGAUGUUUACCAUAACGAAACUAGACAGCGAUAAUUGGAGAGGGAGAUUUCUCUUCCUCCUGAUUAGCACCAGAUGGAUAAUUGCUGAGUACCCUUGCAAUGUAACUUCCAGUUGCAAAUGUUCGCCAAUUGUUUUUUUCAAAAAGAAGUAUGAGAAAAUAUUUACUUGCUGUGGCAUUUUUUUUAUUGAGAAAGGUUUUUGUUUUACAAAAUUAUAAAAGUACAAAAGAUAAUACAGCAAUCUUAUGGUACAACAACUGUACCAGAACAAACUACCCACUACUCGACAGAUCAAACCAAACUAUUACAGAAAUACAGAACAAUUUUGCCAUAUUGCAAUUCAAUAAGUAAUUAAACAUUACAAAUUAAAUUAAGCUAACUUGAAUUGGACUAAACUAAUUUAAUUUAAUUUACAUCACCAGAUGCUCCCCCACCGAGGCUCCCACCAAUGGGAGCAUCAGUUAAUAUACCCGUAUUUAUUUAACCAUUCAUUCAAGCUUCCUCCUUAAGGGGGCCCCCGAGCCGCCAAAUCUGGCCUUCGUGACGGUACAAAAGGCCCUAAUUAGUUUGGCUGAUAUGUCCGCGUCUAUGUGGUUCAGGUAGGACCGCCUCAUCUUAUAAAAUAAUUCCAAUUUCUGGUGCACCACAUUUGUAAGAAAGUCCUGGGGACAUGCUCCAUUACUAACAUAUGCCAUUCUGGAAGACACGGGGUGGGGGGUUUCCGCGAUCCAGCUCAUUAGAACGUUCUUCCUUGCACAUUACAUGAGAAUGUUGGAUAACCUCUUCCCUUGCUCAUCUAGCAAAGGCAGAUUUGGCAGUCCCAGAAGGAAGGAUACCGGAUCCACCUUAACCUCCGUUCCCAAGAUUCUCUCCAACACGUUCGCUAUGGCACCCCAGUACCUACAAUCUUAUGGUGCGACCAUAAGCAGUGCGUGAGAGUACCAGUGUCUGUUUUGCAUGUAGGACACCUUGGGGAUGCUCCUGUCUUAAAUUUUGCCAGUUGGCUCUGGGGCCAAAUGGGCCCUGUGGAGAGUCUUUAGUUGCAUAGCCUGCGCUUUAUUGCAAAUCGGAAUUUUUUUCACAUUCUCCCAGAUAUCCAUCCAUACUUCCAAUGAGAUUUCCGUUCCCAAUUCCUGAUUCCUGACUCCAUAAAGUCUUUCCACAUCUUCCAGGGUGGA
Long non-coding RNA from Chiloscyllium plagiosum (whitespotted bambooshark), 4298 nucleotides. RefSeq lists it as uncharacterized. The record is from RefSeq and is a predicted model, not a curated record. NCBI's taxonomy places the organism in Eukaryota, Metazoa, Chordata, Chondrichthyes, Orectolobiformes, Hemiscylliidae.